RNAcentral lists this long non-coding RNA (331 nucleotides) under Carica papaya (papaya). RNAcentral's name for it is "long non-coding RNA (CPAP_LNC002530)". Lineage: Eukaryota; Viridiplantae; Streptophyta; Magnoliopsida; Brassicales; Caricaceae. The record is from RNAcentral.
UGAGGGGAACUGAAUCGCUGGGAAGUGGCUGCCAUGAUUGAUAUUAGCUCCCUUGUUUGUCAUGUUGUCUUGUUGAUGAUGGCGCCUCCACUAGCAACAUUAAACAUCCUUCUUUAUGAGAGUAGUAGCCUUUCGUAUAAAUAAUGUAUCAAAGACUGAUAUGAUAUAUCGUGUUGUGGACAGCUUGCGCAUAAUCGUUUAGACCUCCCCUAAUAAUCGUGCAACCUCUCAGAAUCUCUUUGACAAGUCCCAUAUAUUUCUUUUCUAAUGUCGGUUGCCCGAGAUGCUGGGAAGAAACGAUCUAGGAAGGCCUUUACCAUCUCUGCCCAAG